GGAUGAAGAACGCAGCGAAAUGCGAUAAGUAGUGUGAAUUGCAGAAUUCAGUGAAUCAUCGAAUCUUUGAACGCACAUUGCGCCCUUUGGUAUUCCUUAGGGCAUGCCUGUUCGAGCGUCAUUUAAACCUUCAAGCUAAGCUUGGUGUUGGGUGACUGUCCGCUUCACGGCGGACUCGCCUCAAAAUUAUUGGCGGCCGGUACAUUGGCUUCGAGCGCAGCAGAAACGCGAACUCGGGCCCGUCGUAUUGGCUCCCAGAAGCUAUCUUCACAAUUUUGACCUCGGAUCAGGUAGGGAUACCCGCUGAACUUAAGCAUAUCAAUAAGCGGAGGA
Molecule: unclassified non-coding RNA, 333 nt
Filed under: soil metagenome
Description: partial contains 5.8S ribosomal RNA, internal transcribed spacer 2, and large subunit ribosomal RNA
Rfam family: 5.8S ribosomal RNA (bases 2-121)
Source: RNAcentral